Non-coding RNA from Gymnothorax javanicus (giant moray), 73 nucleotides. Lineage: Eukaryota; Metazoa; Chordata; Actinopteri; Anguilliformes; Muraenidae. The record is from the annotation of a GenBank genome assembly.
GCCACUGUGGCGCAGUGGGUAGCACUACUGCCUCAUAACAAUAAGGUCAUGGGUUCAAAUCUGGCCUGGGGCU